GUUGUAUGGUUAAGUGACUAAGCGUACACGGUGGAUGCCUAGGCAGUCAGAGGCGAUGAAGGACGUAGUAACUUGCGAAAAGC
This 83-nucleotide ribosomal RNA is filed under the name Vibrio sp. 1-1(7). Its description in RNAcentral is "partial 23S ribosomal RNA". Lineage: Bacteria; Pseudomonadati; Pseudomonadota; Gammaproteobacteria; Vibrionales; Vibrionaceae. The record is from RNAcentral.